Molecule: long non-coding RNA, 476 nt
Organism: Acanthochromis polyacanthus (spiny chromis)
Lineage: Eukaryota; Metazoa; Chordata; Actinopteri; Pomacentridae
Exons: 3
Source: RefSeq, a predicted model, not a curated record
UGUCACAUCUUCAUUUGAUGUUUUUUCCACAUUUAGAGCUCCAGAAAUCAUCCUGGGCCUGCCGUAUUCUGAGGCCAUCGACAUUUGGUCAUUAGGCUGCGUGAUGGUGAGGAUGAUGACUUCAGAUUGUCUCUUCGGAACAGACUCCGAAUACUGGACAGUGAGUAAAUUACUGCAGCUGAAACACAUUAGAAGCCGUCACAGGAAUAGCUUCAGGUCUAACACGGUGUUAUGUUUUGUUUGCAGCUCCUACGCAUGAUCGGUCUGUUGGGUGUGCCGCCACAACAUGUCAUCGAUGCUGGACGGAGAUCAGAAUUAUUUUUUCAGAAAAUGCCUGAUGGUUUGUGGCAGCUGAAGAGACCUACAGAGUGUUUUGGGACCCAUUUCGACGACGCAGUUUACCAGUUCAGCUCUCUGGAUGAAAUCGAAACGGUGUGCUCUGAGACGGACAACCUAGCAGAGGCCGAUGAGAGAAA